Helianthus annuus (common sunflower) is the source of this 1562-nucleotide long non-coding RNA. RefSeq lists it as uncharacterized. The transcript has 6 exons. The record is from RefSeq and is a predicted model, not a curated record. NCBI's taxonomy places the organism in Eukaryota, Viridiplantae, Streptophyta, Magnoliopsida, Asterales, Asteraceae.
AACAACUCUUCAUCUGACUGUCCACUUGUCAUCGACCUGACCCAAUACUUUCAAAUUGGGUCUUCUCAUGUUACUUCAGGUGAGCCUGCAACUGAAGUUGGUCCCCCAACGACUACCGUCGAUGAAGUGUUGGAGGUCGAGACUGAUGUUGAUGAGGACGAUCCCGAUUAUGACAUCGAGUUUGAUUAAGAGAAAACUUGUUGUAAUUUAUAUUAGUUAGUAUUUGAAAAACACUUGUUGAAAUAUUUAUCUGCAUAUUAGUUAAACUUGUUGUACUUUCUACUAAUUUCUAUUUGAUACACUUGUUUUAACAUUUGUAACUUUUUAGGAAAUAUGUUUUCUUUGUGGUUUGUAUUUGUUUACUUGAUGGCGGACGUGAUGCCCCGAGGACAUGGGGGAGAUGGAGCUGGGGAUCCACCAAAUCCGGAUCCUUUUAGGAGAGGGACGCAUGAGAUUGACGCGGUUCCCCCAAGGAAAGUUAGGGGUAAAGCCAAAAAUCAAAAGCUUCGCCGGCUGGUCAAAGCGGGGGGGCGUGUCUCUCUUACAUUCGAUAGGGAUGUAACGUUUACCCCUGUUGGUGAAACGAGCGACUUAUUUGCACGCGAGGCGGGUUUAUACAUGUGGCGGACCAUCCCUUUUGAUAGAAUAGGCUGGGAUAAAGUUCCGACUCCUUAUAAGGAGGCCGUGAUGAACCACUUAAAGGAGAGUUUCAAUUUCGAUGAAGUUGAACAGGAUUUGGAGGCGCGCGACUUAAAAGGCGGCAUUAGACAAGUGCUUAUGAAGCGGUACUCCGACCGCAAGAACGACGCUAAGGGAGAAUUUCGUGACAAUGGAGGUUAUGACGAUCUCGAACGUGCAAGGGCACACCACCCCAAGGAUAUGCCUUAUGAAAAUUGGCUAAAAACAAUUGAUCACUUCUUGGACCCCAAAUAUAUUGCAAGAAGUGAGGCAAAUACAAGAGUCCGCCAACUUCAAAAAUUCCCAAACCGUGGGGGUACAUCAUGAUACAGUAGCACCGCCUACAAACAUGGUUUGAAACGUCUUGAUACGUACCGCAAAACUCACACGGAUAAAGAUGGGAAUUUUGUUGACCCGGUAGCCGAGCAGAAUUAUCUUAAUCUAGAACGCGAGAUUAUGGGCGCAGAAAGCAGCGGUUCUAACCAGCCGAAUGAGGUUGCCGUGUUUCAAAACGUUUUGGGUGAUCGACGAGGAUGGUUCCGGGGGCUUGGGCCUAAACCUUCGAAUAAGGCAUCGAACACUUGUAAUGCGACGACUCAAACCGCACAACCGUUUUCGGAGGAAUACGUUUCGACUUUGUUCCAAAGUCCGGCGUUCAUAAAUCAACUCGAAUCCUUUCUUGCGGCGAGGGGAAAGCAAGUCACACCCGACGAUGAGUAUGACGAUGAGUAUGACGAUGACGACCUAACUUGAAUUCUUUGUUGCGGUUAUUUUGUACGGAUAUUAAUCGACUUUUAGGAUGUUACUUUUGGGAUUUUUUAGGAUGUUUAUUGUAUGUAAAUGUUUUAUGCGAUUUUAGUACCUAAAGCAUUAUGUUACUUUUA